AGAGCGAGCUGAUCAAGGGGUCGAAAAUGUAGAUAUUUCCAGAUAUUUCACUCUCCGUGGAACAGACCGUGGUGGAAGCUUUAUUGCUGGCAAAAGUGUCCAUAACCAGAGAUAAUUAAACUGUUCUGUGUUCUUUUUCUCUCUUUAUGUCUGCCUGUCUUGUUGUACAUGGAACCUGUCUCACAUGCAUUACUUUAAAAAAAAUGAUGAUGUCUGCUGCUAAUUUUCAGAUUUUACACCACUUAAACACAGCCAUUUUCACUGGACUAUCUGUUGCUGCCAAGUCAUGAAUUCCCUGGGGGUUAGCCUUGCAAUAACCAAGUGGUUAUAUCAGCUGUUUUGGUGAAGACCUCCUGCAUCUGAACUGGCUGACACAGAGGGCACAGCAUGAUCAUAGUGAAGUCCGGCGGGCUUAGAUCAUGUGCUAACAAGACG
Molecule: long non-coding RNA, 435 nt
Filed under: Salmo salar (Atlantic salmon)
Lineage: Eukaryota; Metazoa; Chordata; Actinopteri; Salmoniformes; Salmonidae
Description: lncRNA (ENSSSAG00000101345.1)
Source: RNAcentral